Juglans microcarpa x Juglans regia is the source of this 4733-nucleotide RNA transcript. It is a transcript of the gene named eukaryotic translation initiation factor 5B-like, with no coding region annotated. The record is from RefSeq and is a predicted model, not a curated record. The transcript is spliced from 13 exons. Lineage: Eukaryota; Viridiplantae; Streptophyta; Magnoliopsida; Fagales; Juglandaceae.
CACGAAUUGCAACCUCUUCGCAAGUCCAAGACGGAUGCAGAGUUGCAACCAGACCAAACUCAUGGAAUAAAUCAUGCACAGACCCAAAAGACAACCCUUGAACAAAGUAUAUAUUGCCUUCCCCUCUCCACUUUCCUUCUCGUCUUCUCUGCAUUUUUCUCCAAACCACUUCUUGCCCUGUGUCAGCUAUCCAUUCCUUCCAGUUUCCCUACUCCGUUUACCUCCUUUCAAUUCCUUUUUUCUCGCCAUUGCUCCGAUUCUCUUUCUCGUUUCCCUCCGUCGCCCCAAGUAACCUCUCUCUCUACGGUUGUCUGCUCUCGAUUGAUUGAUUUUGUUUUAAGACUCCUUUCCAUUUUUCAGUGAUAAAUUUCAGGUCUUUUACAUAUGAAAUUUUGUAGGAUGGAUCUGAUUGUAUAGGUUCUGGUUCUCGGUCUAGUUAUCGAAUCCAAUUAGUCGAAAGGAAAGAACGUAUUUUUGAUGGGUCGAAAGAAGCCGAUGGCUCGUGGGGACGACGAGACCGCCCCGGCUGCGGUGUCUAAGUCGAAGAAGAAGGAGGUCGUCAUCGAUGACGAUGAGUAUUCUAUCGGAGUUGAGCUGUCCGAGGAGCCAGAGGCUCAAGAUAGGGUUGCUGUAACUGGGAAGAAGAAGGGUAAGAAGGGGGGCGCGAAAGCUUUGAACCCCAAGGACGAUGAGGGUGACGAUGUCGAAAAGGAAGAGGACGAGGCUCUUGAUACGAUGUUCACUGGGAAGAAGAAAGGGAAGUCGAAGAAGGGCGGUGGGAAUAGCACGUUUAGCGCUUCUGGGUUCGGUUUGUUGGGAGACGAGGAUGACGAUGAGGAUGGACGCUCUGGACUAACUGAUGAGAAAGACAGUGUGGAAGAUGAUGAUGAGCAAGUGGCAAGCUUCUCAGGGAAUAAGAAGAAGAAGAAGAAGAAGCCGUCCAAGGACUCCAGUAUGGGUGGUAGUAGUUUGUUUAGUGCAUCUGCGUUUGAUGCUAUUGAUGAUGAUGGUGACAAUCUUGAUGAUAAUGAGGGGGAGGAGGUGGAUAAUUCUUUGGGAGAAAGUAAAGUUGAGGAUGGCGAUGAUGAAGAUGAGCAAGUAAUUGCUUUUACAGGAAAGAAGAAGAAGUCAUCCAAGGCCAAAGUUGGCAGCAAAGGUGGUGGUGGUAGUGUGUUCACAAAGUCUGAUUUUGAUGGGCUGGAUGAUGGGGAUGAAAAGAAAGAAGAGGAUGAAGAUGUUGCCCCGCUUACUUUCUCGGGUAAGAAAAAGAAGUCUUCAAAGAAGACUGGUGGUAGUUCCUUUAGUGCUGUGUUGGCUGUCGUUGAUGAGGAGAAUGAUGAAGAUACUUCUCUGUCUGAACAUACUAGAGCUGGUGAUGAUGAUACUGUUAGGGAUGAAGAUUUCUCUGCAAUCACAUUUUCGGGGAAGAAAAAGUCUUCAAAGAAAAAAAGUAGUGGUGUUUUUACUGAACUGGGAGAUGAAGCUGAACUUAGAAGUGUAGAUGAACCUGAACAACCGAGUAUGGGAACUAGUAAUGCGGUAGCUGAAGUGUAUAAAGUUAAUAAGAGUGAAGAGGUGAAGGGGACUUCUAAAACUAAGAAGAAAAAGAAGAAGAGUGGAAGGACAGCUGAGGAGGAGGAUGAUUUAGAAAAGAUUCUUGCAGAGCUCGGUGAGGCGCCUCCUAUAUCAAAGCCGGCUGCUCCUCCACAAGAAGAGAAAAUUGAGGUUCAACCUGAACCAGUUGCUCUGGCUGAUGAGAAGGAAGGUGAAGAAGAGAGUGUGGAUUCUGCUGCAGCGAAGAAGAAGAAGAAGAAGAAGGAGAAGGAAAAAGAGAAGAAGGCAGCAGCAGCCACAGCUGCUGCCACUGUUUUGGAGGUGAAGGAUGAAACCCAGGAUGAAGUAAUAACUGAACCAACAAAGCCAAAGAAGAACGAAUCUAAGAGUAAAGCUGUGGACAAGAAAGUGCCAAAACAUGUUAGGGAAAUGCAAGAAGCAAUUGCUCGGAGAAAAGAAGCUGAAGAGAGGAAGAAGAGGGAAGAAGAGGAGAGGUUGAGGAAGGAAGAAGAGGAGCGACGGAAGCAGGAAGAACUUGAGAGACUAGCAGAAGAAGCUAAGCGUAGAAAGAAGGAAAAGGAAAAAGAGAAAUUGCAGAGAAAAAAGGCGGAAGGCAAGCUUUUGACUACGAAGCAGAAGGAAGAAGCCCGGAGGUUGGAAGCAAUGAAGAACCAGUUCCUUGCUAAUGCAGGGAUGCUUCCCCCAUCUACAGACACUGUUGCACAAAAUAAACGUCCCAAAUAUCAGAACAAGAAGCAAAAACCAACUCACGAUAAAGCAAAUGGUGGUGCCCCUGAUAAGCGGGUGGAAAAUGUAGAAGCAAAGGAAGAACCACUAGAGACUCUGGCCAAGAUGGAUAGCAUCGAUUCAGAGAAAGUUGAUGAGGAGUCUAUUGACAUGGAGGACAAGUCUGAAGUUGCCGAGGCUGUCGAAGAUAAUGGAGUGGAAGAAGAUGAUGAUGAGGAUGAAUGGGAUGCAAAGAGCUGGGAUGAUGUUGCUGUUAAUCUUUCUAUUAAUAGUGCGUUUGCUGAUGAAGAGGUCGACUCUGAACCUGAACCAGUGGUUAAAAAGGAGGCAAAGGUUGCAAUACCAACUUCUCACAAUGCAGAACCUCCUGCAACUGCCAAACCAAUGGGUGCUGCUAAGAAAACUACUCCUUCCCAUCCAAUAACAUGUCUGAAUCUUGAGAACAAGGAAAAACAGGAAGCUGAAGUUGCUGAAAAAAAUAAUAGAAAAGAUGAAUCCUUGAAAAAACAAGCUUCAAGGUCUGAUUCUACCUCCAAACCAAGUGAAGAUAACCUUCGUUCCCCAAUUUGCUGCAUCAUGGGCCAUGUUGAUACUGGUAAAACGAAGUUGCUGGAUUGUAUCCGAGGCACUAACGUUCAGGAAGGUGAAGCUGGAGGCAUCACUCAACAAAUUGGUGCGACAUAUUUUCCUGCUGAGAACAUUCGCGAGAGAACCAAGGAACUGAAAGCUGAUGCAAAACUGAAGGUCCCGGGUCUAUUGGUUAUUGAUACCCCUGGGCACGAAUCCUUUACUAAUUUGAGGUCACGGGGUUCGGGUUUAUGUGAUAUUGCAAUUUUGGUUGUCGACAUAAUGCAUGGCUUGGAGCCACAAACAAUAGAAUCACUUAACCUUUUGAAAAUGAGGAAUACAGAAUUCAUUGUUGCAUUGAAUAAGGUAGAUAGGCUCUAUGGAUGGAAAACGUGUCGCAAUGCACCAAUUGUGAAGGCCAUGAAACAACAAUCUAAGGAUGUACAAAAUGAAUUCAACAUGAGGGUCACUCAGAUUGUAACCCAGUUCAAGGAGCAAGGUCUAAAUACUGAAUUGUAUUAUAAGAAUAAGGAAAUGGGGGAAACUUUUAGCAUUGUACCUACAAGUGCUAUUAGUGGCGAAGGCAUCCCAGAUUUGUUAUUAUUAUUGAUUCAAUGGACUCAGAAAACUAUGGUUGAGAAACUUACAUAUAGCAAUGAAGUUCAGUGUACAGUGUUGGAAGUCAAGGUCAUUGAAGGUCAUGGGACAACUAUUGAUGUUGUUUUAGUCAAUGGUGUGCUUCAUGAAGGAGAUCAAAUGGUUGUUUGUGGCAUGCAGGGACCUAUUGUCACCACAAUUCGAGCUUUAUUGACGCCUCAUCCAAUGAAGGAACUUCGAGUCAAGGGGACUUAUCUGCACCAUAAGGAAAUCAAGGCAGCAAUGGGUAUCAAGAUCACGGCACAGGGCCUUGACCAUGCUAUAGCUGGCACUGGUCUAUAUAUUGUAGGUUCAGAUGAUGAUUUAGAGGAUGUCAAGGAAUCAGCUAUGGAAGAUAUGCAGUCAGUCAUGAGCAGGAUUGACAAGAGUGGUGAGGGAGUUUACGUGCAAGCGUCUACCUUAGGCUCAUUGGAAGCACUGCUCGAGUUCUUGAAGUCCCCAGCUGUAAACAUUCCUGUUAGUGGCAUAGGCAUAGGCCCGGUACAUAAAAAGGAUGUCAUGAAGGCCAGUGUAAUGCUUGAAAAGAAAAAGGAAUAUGCUACUAUCUUGGCAUUUGAUGUAAAAAUUAUGAAGGAUGCUGAGGAACUUGCAGAGUCUCUAAGUGUGACAAUUUUUCGGGCUGAUAUCAUUUAUCACUUGUUUGAUCAAUUUAAGGCCUAUAUUGACAACCUCAAGGAGGAAAAGAAGAAGGAAACUGCUGAUGAUGCGGUCUUCCCAUGUGUCCUUAAAAUUUUACCCAACUGCAUUUUCAACAAGAAGGAUCCAAUUGUAUUGGGGCUUGAUAUCCUUGAAGGCAUUGCUAAGGUUGGGACUCCGAUUUGUAUUCCUCAGAGGGAUUUUAUUGAUAUUGGAAGAAUUGCAUCCAUUGAAAAUAAUCAUAAACCUGUGGAUAUUGCAAAGAAAGGGCAGAAGGUUGCAAUUAAGAGUCCAUACAGCUUUCUGUUCUGCGCCAUGUGCACAUGUCAUCAUUGAGUCAUUGCACUGGCAUUUCCAAAUAAAAUAAAUAUGCCGGGGCCCUUCUUAAUUUCUUGGAUAGUUGGCACCAAUCCUGAGGAACAGCAAAAGAUGUUUGGUAGGCACUUUGAGCUUGAGGAUGAACUUGUCAGCCACAUCUCAAGGAAGUCAAUUGAUGUACUUAAAGCUAAUUAUAGGGAUGAUCUGUCUAUUGAGGAGUGGAAGUUGGUUGUGAAAUUGAAGACUCUUUUCAA